This 466-nucleotide ribosomal RNA is filed under the name uncultured bacterium. RNAcentral's name for it is "bacterial SSU rRNA". It matches the Rfam family "Bacterial small subunit ribosomal RNA", at positions 28 to 524 of the family's 1533-position model. The record is from RNAcentral.
GACGAACGCUGGUGGCAUGCCUAACACAUGCAAGUCUAGGGGUAGCAAUACCACUGGCGCACGGGUGAGUAACACGUAGGUUAUCUGCCCCCAUCACAGACAUAACCCCGGGAAACCGGGGCUAAUAUCUGAUGAGGUCGCGAGAUCAAAGCUUCGGCGGAUGGGGAUGAGCCUGCGGCUGAUUAGCUAGUUGGUGAGGUAAUGGCUCACCAAGGCGACGAUCAGUAGCUGGUCUGAGAGGACGAACAGCCACACUGGAACUGAGACACGGUCCAGACUCCUACGGGAGGCAGCAGUGAGGAAUAUUGGUCAAUGGGAGCAAUCCUGAACCAGCAAUGCCGCGUGUGGGAUGACAGGGCUUCGCCUUGUAAACCACUGUCGGACGGGACGAAAGGAGGCCUCGGGCCUCUGGGACGGUACCGUCAAAGGAAGGGUCGGCUAACUACGUGCCAGCAGCCGCGGUAAU